Long non-coding RNA from Myotis myotis, 4214 nucleotides. RefSeq lists it as uncharacterized. Lineage: Eukaryota; Metazoa; Chordata; Mammalia; Chiroptera; Vespertilionidae. The record is from RefSeq and is a predicted model, not a curated record. The transcript has 2 exons.
CCCACAAAUACUCAGCGAAGAGAAAUGGAAGGAGAGUAAACUGGGGGGUGGUGAGUGCGGAAUAGAGUCCACAGGUAAGGAAAUGUAACAUUGUACACCUGAAGCUGAUGCUAUUAACCACUGGUACCUCAAUACAUUUAAUAGCUUUAAAAAUAUUCAGUGAGGGACAGGCCCACAGCAGGCACAGCACAAGUUUACAUUCUAAGGGAGGGGAGGGGGCCCGUCACCCAGCAUGAAAAUAAGGUGAAUCUCAGAGAACAGAAAGUACUACAGAGCCAAGAAGGUGAUGUUGAAUGAUGGGUGGACUAGUUUAAGUAGAGAGCUGGGGACAGGUUUCAGCGAAGCAGGACACGGCUCUACAGUUUACAAGUCUUUCACGUCCCAUCCCAGUAUUUGAGGAGCACGUAGGAAGGGGCAGACAGGAGGUGCAAAGUAAGGUUUAUUUGGCCCUAGUCUGGGGAUUCAUGCCUCAUGACAGUAGCGUUGGCCUGGCCUGGCCUGGCCCCUGCAGGAAGGCACCCUGCUGCAUGGGUACCACCUACCUCCUGUGUCUGGCUCUCUUGGUUUUGUGUACAGACUAAAAGGGCUAUGUGAUUUGCUGGGCCCAGUGAGAAAUGAAUAUGUGUGUGGGGGUGUCCCCUUGUUCAGAGUGACUAGGAAUUUUAAGAUGGCAACCACAGGGCAUUAUACCAAGUGUGGGGCCCUUCUAAGUUCGGGGACCUAUGUCCCUACACAGGUUGCAUGCCCGUGGAUCUGGCUUGUGCAACAGAAUUCAGAAAUAGUGUGCAAGCCCCUGCCCCCACUGGCUGCUAUGAGAAGCAUCCCUCACGCCUUCUCCAGGCCUCCCUCCCCUCUUUUCCAGCUUAAAGCCCAGCACAGGUGAUGGAAACAGCGCACAGAGGCUAAAAAUACAGCCGAGCCAGUCUAGGUCAGGGCACUUAAUGGCUCAAGGUCUUUUGCUCAGCUAUGCGGUCCUGGCCCCUGGCAAGGAGCAGUCUCAGAGAUUCAUUUCAGUGCUUCACAUGCCUUGGUCGGUGAGCAGCUUUAUUUCAUGGAAAGAGUGAGGACACGGGCUGUAGCCCCUGGGCCUUCAGGAAGGUGGUGGUGGUGGUCUGUUUGCCUCCUGUGUUCUGCAGUUGGACCCUUGGAUUCCUCCGUGGGCGGCUGGAUUUGCCAAGAAGCUGGGAGAGCUCUGGUCGGUGGCUCGGUUGGUUGGAACGUCAUCCCACACAUCAAAAGGGUUCUGGCGACAUGUGUUUACUGAGUGAUCCAUGGCCAAGAUGAGGGUGAGAGGUGAGUGAGGCGUUCAGCUGAGGCACAAAAUUUCAGAAAGCCCCCCAACAUUCAAUAAUUAAGAUAAAGAACUCAGUAUCCUAUAAUGGGUUAAAAUAUGUUGAAUCUACUUCAUAAACAGUUUUAAUUUAAUAUAUUUAAAAAUCUAAAUGAAUGACAAAAAAAUUCAAGAUGAACGAAAUAUUAAAUUUUUAAGUAAAAGCAGGAUAUAGAUUUCUGAUUUUCCUUUAGGCCCAGGCUCAGCUCAGUACAGUACUGUUACUGAUCCUGUCUCCCAGCUUUCUGGGCCAGGCAACUAGUGAUGGAAAAUUCAAGAGAAGUAGUAGUUUGCUGUUCUGAUGGGCGUGAAGGGAGAGAGAAUUUGGUUUGAACAUAAUGAGUUAGAGGUGUCUGCGGGACAUCCAGGUGACCGUGAGUCAGGUGAGAAGGGGUAGCAGGGCGGGCAGGGUGCCCUGAUUUCGUAUGCUUGGCCCAUGAUGGGUGCGUACUCAGCACAUGUGGUCUAAAUCACUGGUCCUCAGAGUUUGCAUCAUGGUUCAGGAAUCUUUGCAAAUUCUCUCAUCCAAAAUUUUUCUCUUUUUUCCCAAACCUUCUACAUCACAAACCUCAGAUAUGUUCCCAUUUGGGUGUGGAAGUUUACUGCUUGGGUGUUAAAAUCAAAACAUCUUCUGAGAAGAUUAAAAAACAACUCAAUUCCACUAGAAUUUGGGAGUUGGGCAAGAAGGGGAAAGACAAGAAUUAAUCUAAAUUGGCUCCAUUUCUUCUUUAUUAAUGGAUCCUCCAGCAAAAGAAGAGGAGCUAAGAGAAAUUAAAGAGGAGAAAGGUUGUAGGAAAGGAAAAAAAGAAAGACGAAACAUUAUAGGAGCUAAAAAUACAGUGAGGAGAGCUUGGCUACGCAUCAAAGAAGGGCAGAUGUGUUUCCAAAUAGAAGCGGUGGUUUAGAGAUGUCAGGAAGCACAGCUCCAAAUGAUGGGUGGAAAAUAAAAGUUAUUUAGACUGAGCUCAGCAGAAUAAAAAAGGUUCAAUGGUGACUCAAACUGAGGAACAGGCCGCUGAGCAAUAUGGAAGCCCUAGUGCCUCAACCCCAGGUUCGAGAAUCAAGUGUUGGCACCAACAGUGGAAACUCUUGCCAUGGUGUCAGGACCCUGAACCGAAGAGUCUUUCCAUCUUGACUUUGUAAUUCUGAACAACCUUUGAUGGAACAAUCGCUAUUACAGACUAGUCACUUUUCUUCGCGUAUCCUCGGGUACCCGCAUCCCUUUCCGUCGAAUGAAGCAUGAAUCAUUCCCACAACCAGGGAGACAUGUACCUUCUGUAAAUAUCCCACUUCUGUGAGGUCGAUGAGUCUGACCAAUGCUUAGUGAAGAUGGAUCAUAGGAAGAGAAAUGUGGCGAGACGCAAGCCAGAUCAGAAUCCUUCCACUUCCAGAGGCCCAUUGCUUGUCCUCAUAGACCAGAUGGAUGCCCAGGAAGGACCUGAGAUGAAGUCCAUAUCAAAUACUGGGUUAUGUCACUCAGACCCUGGGCAUCAGGGGCUCAAGAAAGAGUCAGACGGGGGAAUGGGCCACAAUAUUAAUACUGUUAAUAAGAACAUGACUUGUUGAGUGCUUGUUAUGCACCAAGAGCCAUACCAAGGGCUUCACAUGCAUAGUCCCAUUUCAUCUUCCCAGUGGUCCUAGAGGAGGCACGAUUUGCUACCCCAUUUCACAGAUGAGGCAAAUAAGGUUCAGAGAUGUGAAUUCACUUGCCCAUAGAGAGAUGGAUCUGGGAUGUCACCUCCGACAGACCAACUCCUGAGCGCAGAGGAAGCCUCCUGACAAGGCCAGGUAGGACUAGAACUGGGCGCAGGUGUAGUACGUGGAUGGGCCGACCAGUCAUAGCUGGCAAAGAGCAAGGGUGGAGUGGUGUACAGCUUGGUUGCGUCCAGCUGUUGUUGUUGGUUACCAGCUGUGGGGCAUGGUUCUUGAGCAGUGUGUGCCUAAGUUUCCUCAACUGUCAAGUAGGGAUGGCAACAGUGUCCAAAUUCAUAAGACCAUUGGUGUCAUUUCAGGGGAUGACGCUUGUAAAGUGUCUAAAACAGUGCUUGGCCUGCAGUAGGCCUUCAAUAAAUACAGAUUUUACUGACGUAGGAGAAACAGCACAGGCCAAAUGACGCUGGGUUAGUUCCAAGGAACGUCAGGGUUUCUUGUUGGGGUUCAGUCUAUGGAAGGGAGAGAAGGCAGAAUUUACUGGAAUUUGAAGAGUCUCAGCCGCCGUCCAUGUGGCCAGAAGCAGGAGCUAUAGAGCGCCCCUCGGAGCCAGAGCAAUGCCACUUGGUCACUGAGGGCAAGACCUAGGAAAGUAAGUACAACAGAUGAAUGGGAAGGCCACCUCAAGGCUGGGAAGAAGAGAAACAGAAGAGCUACUCCCAGGAUGCCUUUCUGGCCCGACUUUCCCCUUCUGUCCCCUCCGCCUUGCAGAGCAAAGGGAGACAGUAGCCCAAGAGCCUGGUGCCGCCUCUCUGGGAUUCGGAUGCUUGCCUGCCCCGUCUCCAGACAUUCGCAAACCCUUCCCGAAGACAAACCCUUUCCAACGCCCUGCUCUAAAACUGACCCACCUCUCUGGAGGUGAGGCCAGGGCUCGCGGCUGAAUGGGCCCCAUUGUCCUCCCGAGCGUCUGUGGGUCCACCUGGAGGCGGUUCUGCCACGGCCUGCGGUGCGGUCUGCCUGCAGACUUUGAUUCACUCCAGGGACAACACUCGAAAAAGAAAAAAAAAAAAAAAAAAAGAAAAAAAAAUCAAACGGGCAACACAUGCGAUUCCAGGAACGCCGGCCAGACUCACACUCUGUUUUUCCAUCAUUCCGCUCUCCUGCCCCCGGGGGGAGGGCGCCUCCUUGGGCAUUUUGUGUAUGAAAAAAAAAAAAAAAUCAAAACCACCAUCAG